RNAcentral lists this ribosomal RNA (1400 nucleotides) under uncultured bacterium. RNAcentral's name for it is "bacterial SSU rRNA". It matches the Rfam family "Bacterial small subunit ribosomal RNA". The record is from RNAcentral.
UUAGAGUUUGAUCCUGGCUCAGGAUGAACGCUAGCGGCAGGCUUAACACAUGCAAGUCGAGGGGCAGCGAGAUCAGUGCUUGCACUGAUUGUCGGCGACCGGCGCACGGGUGCGUAACGCGUAUGCAACCUACCCAUUACAGGGGGAUAACACUGAGAAAUCGGUACUAAUACCCCAUAACAUCCAGGGAGGCAUCUUCUUGGGUUGAAAACUCCGGUGGUAAUGGAUGGGCAUGCGUUGUAUUAGUUAGUUGGUGGGGUAACGGCUCACCAAGACAACGAUACAUAGGGGGACUGAGAGGUUAACCCCCCACAUUGGUACUGAGACACGGACCAAACUCCUACGGGAGGCAGCAGUGAGGAAUAUUGGUCAAUGGACGCAAGUCUGAACCAGCCAUGCCGCGUGCAGGAAGACGGCUCUAUGAGUUGUAAACUGCUUUUGUACGAGGGUAAACGCAGAUACGCGUAUCUGUCUGAAAGUAUCGUACGAAUAAGGAUCGGCUAACUCCGUGCCAGCAGCCGCGGUAAUACGGAGGAUUCAAGCGUUAUCCGGAUUUAUUGGGUUUAAAGGGUGCGUAGGCGGUCGGAUAAGUUAGAGGUGAAAUCCCGGGGCUCAACUUCGGAAUUGCCUCUGAUACUGUUCGGCUAGAGAGUAGUUGCGGUAGGCGGAAUGUAAGGUGUAGCGGUGAAAUGCUUAGAGAUCAUACAGAACACCGAUUGCGAAGGCAGCUUACCAAGCUACUUCUGACGUUGAGGCACGAAAGCGUGGGGAGCAAACAGGAUUAGAUACCCUGGUAGUCCACGCAGUAAACGAUGAUAACUCGUUGUCGGCGAUACAGUGUCGGUGACUAAGCGGAAGCGAUAAGUUAUCCACCUGGGGAGUACGUUCGCAAGAAUGAAACUCAAAGGAAUUGACGGGGGCCCGCACAAGCGGAGGAACAUGUGGUUUAAUUCGAUGAUACGUGAGGAACCUUACCCGGGCUUGAAAGUUAGUGACGGAUCUUGAAAGAGGUCUUCCCUUCGGGGCACGAAACUAGGUGCUGCAUGGUUGUCGUCAGCUCGUGCCGUGAGGUGUCGGGUUAAGUCCCAUAACGAGCGCAACCCCUACCGUUAGUUGCCAGCAGGUCAAGCUGGGCACUCUGACGGGACUGCCGGUGUAAGCCGAGAGGAAGGUGGGGAUGACGUCAAAUCAGCACGGCCCUUACGUCCGGGGCUACACACGUGUUACAAUGGCAGGUACAGAGGGCAGCUACCCAGCGAUGGGAUGCGAAUCUCGAAAGCCUGUCUCAGUUCGGAUUGGAGGCUGAAACCCGCCUCCAUGAAGUUGGAUUCGCUAGUAAUCGCGCAUCAGCCAUGGCGCGGUGAAUACGUUCCCGGGCCUUGUACACACCGCCCGUCAAG